This 253-nucleotide ribosomal RNA is filed under the name uncultured bacterium. RNAcentral describes it as "partial 16S ribosomal RNA". It matches the Rfam family "Bacterial small subunit ribosomal RNA", at positions 524 to 776 of the family's 1533-position model. The record is from RNAcentral.
UACGUAGGGUGCAAGCGUUAAUCGGAAUUACUGGGCGUAAAGCGUGCGCAGGCGGUUAUGGAAGACAGAGGUGAAAUCCCCGGGCUCAACCUGGGAACUGCCUUUGUGACUGCAUGGCUAGAGUACGGUAGAGGGGGAUGGAAUUCCGCGUGUAGCAGUGAAAUGCGUAGAUAUGCGGAGGAACACCGAUGGCGAAGGCAAUCCCCUGGACCUGUACUGACGCUCAUGCACGAAAGCGUGGGGAGCAAACAGG